Molecule: long non-coding RNA, 1160 nt
Filed under: Salvia miltiorrhiza (redroot sage)
Lineage: Eukaryota; Viridiplantae; Streptophyta; Magnoliopsida; Lamiales; Lamiaceae
Description: long non-coding RNA (SMIL_LNC012719)
Source: RNAcentral
CCUUAGCACACUUAUUCCCCCAAUCCCCUUCACUCUACCUCUUGUAUCUAUUCUCUAGCACACUCAAAUGUGCAGGCAACACUCCUCCUCUUAGCCUCAAACUUCAUCCAGCAGAUCACUUUCAUUAUCUUCCAUUCCACACAUAGAAUCCACCGAAGGGUAAGCUGCAUUCACUGUUCUGCCAAAACUCAAGGGGUAAGCUUCGCUUUAACUCUUUUCCUUUCAGUCAUUAGUUUCACCUGCAUUAACACAAAGAGCAACAACCUUGAAUAUUUCAGAUUCUCCCAACCCAUUUAUUCAACAACAACAGCCAACCAACAAGCUAGAUACUCAAGGUAUUUAUGCGACCUCAGUUGUUCAAUCCAGUUUGCAUUCAUACCAUCAAACAUGAUCAGAUUCAAAUGAUAGAGGACCUAUAUAAGCAUAAUGGACUUAGCAGCGAAGUUACACUUCAUAAUGCAGAACACCAGUUACAUUUUUUUUUAUGUAAGAAUUAGUGUGUAGAACUCGAGCAACUCAACAUACUAAGCACAACAAGGAAAAUCAAGCUUUACAAUAGAGUAGAUGGGGACUUAGCUUAUAGAAAUGAGGGGCGCUGCUCUGCUUAGCCAGGCCGAGAAACGACGUCUGGGCGGCGACUCGCGGGGGCAGCGGCGUCGACGGCGUCGAGCGGUGAAGGGCAGGCGACUCCCGACCUCGGUAAUGGCCCUCGCCGAUUCUGGAAUAGUAGCAUUCGGCGGCGUACCCUUCGCCCGAAUCCAGCAGCAGCAGCGUGGCGUGGCUCGAACCGUCGACCCUGGAGAAAACAGCAACGGCGGGCUUUCCCCUACUAGCCAAAAACCGCGGAGCAGCAACGGCGGAGACGAUAUCAGACUGAGGAAAUUAUGCUUCCUCCCUUCAUUCUUUGCACUCGAUUUUGAAAGGAAGGUAGUGAGAUGAAGAGGGGGCAGCCGAGGAUCGGCGCCCUCGGCGGCCUGACGACCAGCGGACGCCGCUACGGGUGCAGCGGCGCGGCGAAUCUCGUCGGCCUUCCAGUUGCGGCGGCGGCGGCGGCGGCACCUCAAGGAGGGAAAAAUUAGGGCUCGCUCAAGCUUCGAUGGAAAUUGAGAGCGAAGAAGGCAGAGAUGGACGUAAGGGAGGAGGUUCGACCGCCGUUCACC